This 198-nucleotide ribosomal RNA is filed under the name uncultured bacterium. RNAcentral describes it as "partial 16S ribosomal RNA". It matches the Rfam family "Bacterial small subunit ribosomal RNA", at positions 326 to 539 of the family's 1533-position model. The record is from RNAcentral.
ACGCUCGACACCUACGGGAUGCAGCAGUGGGGAAUAUUGCACAAUGGGGGAAACCCUGAUGCAGCGACGCCGCGUGAGUGAAGAAGUAUUUCGGUAUGUAAAGCUCUAUCAGCAGGGAAGAAAAUGACGGUACCUGAGUAAGAAGCCCCGGCUAACUACGUGCUAGCAGCCGCGGUAAUCUGAGCGGGCUGGCAAGGC